ACUCCUACGGGAGGCAGCAGCUAAGAAUCUUCCGCAAUGGACGAAAGUCUGACGGAGCGACGCCGUGUGAAUGAAGAAGGCCGAAAGGUUGUAAAAUUCUUUUGCAGAUGAAGAAUAAACAUAGGAGGGAAUGCCUGUGAGAUGACGGUAAUCAUGCGAAUAAGCCCCGGCUAAUUACGUGCCAGCAGCCGCGGUAACACGUAAGGGGCGAGCGUUGUUCGGAAUUAUUGGGCGUAAAGGGUAUGUAGGCGGUUAGGUAAGCCUGGUGUGAAAUCUACGAGCUCAACUCGUAAACUGCAUUGGGUACUGCUUGACUUGAAUCACGGAGGGGAAACCGGAAUUCCAAGUGUAGGGGUGGAAUCUGUAGAUAUUUGGAAGAACACCGGUGGCGAAGGCGGGUUUCUGGCCGAUGAUUGACGCUGAUAUACGAAGGUGCGGGGAGCAAACAGGAUUAGAUACCCUUGUAGUCC
This 470-nucleotide ribosomal RNA is filed under the name uncultured bacterium. RNAcentral's name for it is "bacterial SSU rRNA". It matches the Rfam family "Bacterial small subunit ribosomal RNA", at positions 335 to 796 of the family's 1533-position model. The record is from RNAcentral.